AUGGAAUUGAAGAAAACGAAAAUGUACCAUACGAGACACUGGAUGGAACGCAGCGUACUUUCAAUGAUCACAUGUAUGUCUCAGCAAACGUCCAAAGAUCCGAAGAUACAGAUACUGCUGCAUGCGAAAACUAUGUGAACAUGCAACGUUAACAUCUUUGAAGAAGACGUAAAAUGUACAUGAAAGAUACAUGAAGAAUUACACAUUUUUUGUAUUUUGAUAAAUAUAACUUCAAUAAAUUUUAAGUUUACGUGGAUAUAAUGUUACAAACAUUUUACACAAACCAUAUCUAUAGCAGAUUAACUUGCUAUAUGGAAGCAUUUUUAUACUCCUAGGAAAUAAAUAUUCGGACGAAAUAA
Long non-coding RNA from Ruditapes philippinarum (Manila clam), 359 nucleotides. RefSeq lists it as uncharacterized. Lineage: Eukaryota; Metazoa; Mollusca; Bivalvia; Venerida; Veneridae. The record is from RefSeq and is a predicted model, not a curated record. The transcript has 3 exons.